This 385-nucleotide ribosomal RNA is filed under the name uncultured bacterium. Its description in RNAcentral is "bacterial SSU rRNA". It matches the Rfam family "Bacterial small subunit ribosomal RNA", at positions 28 to 392 of the family's 1533-position model. The record is from RNAcentral.
GAUGAACGCUGGCGGCGUGCCUAACACAUGCAAGUCGAACGAAGCUUGACGAACGAUUCUUCGGAUGAAUUCUGAUAUGACUGAGUGGCGGACGGGUGAGUAACGCGUGAGCAACCUGCCCUUCAGAGGGGGAUAGUGUCUGGAAACGGACAGUAAUACCGCAUAAUGUACAUUGAUGGCAUCGAGCAGAGGGAAAAGGAGCAAUCCGCUUUGAGAUGGCCUCGCGUCCGAUUAGCUAGUUGGUGAGGUAACGGCCCACCAAGGCGACGAUCGGUAGCCGGACUGAGAGGUUNAACGGGCCACAUUGGGACUGAGACACGGCCCAGACUCCUACGGGAGGCAGCAGUGGAGAAGUAUUGCACAAUGGGGGGAACCCUGAUGCAGC